Molecule: non-coding RNA, 78 nt
Organism: Schistosoma mattheei
Lineage: Eukaryota; Metazoa; Platyhelminthes; Trematoda; Strigeidida; Schistosomatidae
Source: Rfam
CGCUUUCUAAAUCCAUGUACAGAUUUUGUUAGACACCGUGUCAUUAGGACUGAUAAGACUACCAAGAUAAGUGAAGCU